RNAcentral lists this ribosomal RNA (497 nucleotides) under uncultured bacterium. RNAcentral's name for it is "partial 16S ribosomal RNA". It matches the Rfam family "Bacterial small subunit ribosomal RNA", at positions 28 to 507 of the family's 1533-position model. The record is from RNAcentral.
GACGAACGCUGGCGGCGUGCCUAAUACAUGCAAGUUGAGCGCUGAAGGUUGGUACUUGUACCAUCUGGAUGAGCAGCGAACGGGUGAGUAACGCGUGGGGAAUCUGCCUUUGAGCGGGGGACAACAUUUGGAAACGAAUGCUAAUACCGCAUAAAAACUUUAAACACAAGUUUUAAGUUUGAAAGAUGCAAUUGCAUCACUCAAAGAUGAUCCCGCGUUGUAUUAGCUAGUUGGUGAGGUAAAGGCUCACCAAGGCGGUGAUACAUAGCCGACCUGAGAGGGUGAUCGGCCACAUUGGGACUGGGACACGGCCCAAACUCCUACGGGAGGCAGCAGGAGGGAAUCUUCGGCAAUGGACGAAAGUCUGACCGAACAAAGCCGCGUGAGGGAAGAAGGUUUUCGGGUCGUAAAACUCUGUUGGUAGGGAAGAAAGUUGGUGAGAGUGGAAAGCUCAUCAAGUGACGGUAACUACCCAGAAAGGAACGGCUAACUACGUG